Molecule: unclassified non-coding RNA, 339 nt
Filed under: soil metagenome
Description: partial contains 5.8S ribosomal RNA, internal transcribed spacer 2, and large subunit ribosomal RNA
Rfam family: 5.8S ribosomal RNA (bases 1-120)
Source: RNAcentral
GAUGAAGAACGCAGCGAAAUGCGAUACGUAGUGUGAAUUGCAGAAUUCAGUGAAUCAUCGAAUCUUUGAACGCACAUUGCACCUCUCAGUAUUCCGGGAGGUAUGCCUGUUCGAGCGUCAUUUGUACCCUCAAGCUCUGCUUGGUGUUGGGUGUUUGUUCCGCCUCUGUGUGUGAACUCGCCUCAAAACAAUUGGCAGCCGGCGUACUUGUUUCGGAGCGCAGCACAUUUUGCGAUCCAGAUCAACGUACAGCGGCAUCCAAGAAGCCUUAUUUAACGCUCUUGACCUCGGAUCAGGUAGGGAUACCCGCUGAACUUAAGCAUAUCAAUAAGCGGAGGA